AUACGUAGGUGGCAAGCGUUAUCCGGAUUUACUGGGUGUAAGGGCGCGUAGGCGGGGGUGCAAGUCAGAUGUGAAAUCUAUGGGCUUAACUCAUAAACUGCAUUUGAAACUGUAUCUCUUGAGUGCUGGAGAGGUAGACGGAAUUCCUUGUGUAGCGGUGAAAUGCGUAGAUAUAAGGAAGAACACCAGUGGCGAAGGCGGUCUACUGGACAGUAACUGACGCUGAGGCGCGAAAGCGUGGGGAGCAAACAGGAUUAGAUACCCUGGUAGUCCACGCUGUAAACGAUGAAGACUAGGUGUGGGGGGACUGACCCCCUCCGUGCCGCAGUUAACACAAUAAGUAUUCCACCUGGGGAGUACGGCCGCAAGGUUGAAACUCAAAUGAAUUGACGGGG
This 395-nucleotide ribosomal RNA is filed under the name uncultured bacterium. Its description in RNAcentral is "partial 16S ribosomal RNA". It matches the Rfam family "Bacterial small subunit ribosomal RNA", at positions 523 to 918 of the family's 1533-position model. The record is from RNAcentral.